RNAcentral lists this microRNA (22 nucleotides) under Drosophila ananassae. RNAcentral describes it as "Dan-Mir-282_3p* (star (passenger))". The record is from RNAcentral. RNAcentral also lists the same sequence under 3 other names. Lineage: Eukaryota; Metazoa; Arthropoda; Insecta; Diptera; Drosophilidae.
ACAUAGCCUAUAAGAGGUUAGG